GCGGCGGGCCUGGUGGACACACGGCGCCCCGAGUGGGGCUCCCAGGCUGGAGCCGCGAGUGACCGCGGCUUCUCGGGGAUAGCCUGUCCACUCUCCAGCGCCGGCCGUGCUCGCUGCGGGAAGCGACGGGGAGGGUUUCCAGCCGGAGCCUUCUGCCGACGGAGGAGCAACGAGGUGGAGGCCAGGUGGUUUCUGUUUGACUGCAGUUGGGGUCUGGGUCCCAUUUUGUCCUGCUCUUCAAAGCUGAGGCUCUCAUCAGGAUUCCCUGAAUUAGACCCGUUUCCCAGUUUCUUGAAAAAAACCCUCGUGUUACGUUAGUUGUACCCUGGGUCUGCUCCUGAUGCAGUUGGUGGUACUUACCUGGCUCCUGUCCCACCACAAGCUGCAAUCUGACAUCUACCAAGACAGCAGACACUGACACCGUGCUAUCCCAGCCUUUCUAAACCAUUGCUGGUGCCUGGAUAUAUCGUAUUGCCAUUGCAACGUAUAGUUUUCCUAUGAUACUGCUGUCUCAAAACACUAGUCAUCUGUGGCUUUUCUCUUUUCCCCUCUUUCCACCAACACCAGGGUCCUGUUGGACUGGUUCUCCUGCAGCCACCCAGCAAGUGGCUCCUGGCCCUGGGAGACACUCCUGAGCAGACUUGCAAAGCUACUCCUUUCUCCUCUCUCAAAUUAACCUGACAAUUAAUUUUUUCUCUGCUGGCAGUGUAACCAUUGCAGCUGUAUGUUCUUCCAGCUUCCUGGUGGUGAUGGUUAAGCGUGGUUGGGUGUCUACUCAUUUUGUCCCAUUGCUCCUACUUUUUGACUUUGGUUUUGCUAAAACUCUUACGUGUUGAGUUAGCCCUUAAUGCAUUAAAGUGCUUGCAUGCAGUGCUGGGUAAGUGUAACCACUUGAAACCCUUGGCUCUGCUCGUGUUGUGCACUUAAGCAUAGUGCUUAACCAGAAGGCUGGUUUUCAAGCUGAGGUCAUGUCUCAACUCUACUGAGAGAGGUCAGCGUGCUUCUUGGUGCCGUAAGAUAAAUAAGUGAUAAUCAUACAGUGUCGCAGCAGUUUAGAAUAAUUGGUAACCACACGUGGCUUUAGCAUAAUUGUGAAUUUCCCGCUGUCCCCUGAUUUGGGGCCGUUACAUGAUUGGACUGUUAGUUUCUGUACGUGGUUUUAUUCCUAGCUAGCUGGAAGAAGUUUCCAUGUGAUACAGCAGAUUCAUUAAAGCCUGCCAGAAAUAACUCUUCUCUCUUGACAUCAGGAACUAAUCUUCUUGCUGUUUCGUGUUACUUUAAGUGCUGUAUAUUUCAAGAUGACACUGAAAUUAGACAACUGAUACAGGUCUUGGGAAAUUAUUUUCACUUUUAAAAUCCCCGUUGUUCUAUUCCUCUGUGGAGGAUCAUCUCUGCUUGAGGUACCUGACUUCUGUUCACACUGAUAAGAGUUAUGUGGCUGUGGCAGCAGUAUCAUACUGGAGAUCAUUUGAGAUCGUUCUGACUCAUGCUUUUUGAAUAUAUGAUGAUUUUAAGCACUACUGGAUUUGCUUAGCUCUUCUUCAGGUUUAACCGCCACAUCACAUUGCAGUCUGUGUGUACACAGAGGUGUCCGAGCUACGGUUUCUGGAGAUGAAUGAAAAUCAGUGGUGGGUAGGAAGUAGCAUAUUGUGUGUUUAUGGGCCAUACUUGCCCCUGUGGCUGGAGGCAGCAAAAGACCUAUACAAAAUCCAAGCUCCAUGGAGGUCCUAGCCCAAGAAGUCAGGUAGCGCUUGGCUGUUGCAGACUUUAUCGUUUGCCCUCACUGAACAUUGCCAGAAGCAGAUUGGGUAAAAAUACCUCAGUUCUGCUUUUUGAUUUGCGCAGCAAUUCCCUAACUUUGUAAGCCUAAGUCUACUGUCCUCCCUCCAAGUUUCUUUCCGGUCCCCAUGCACCUUUGUCAUCAAACACAAGGUUUGUUUCACAAACAAGUGAAAACAGAUAUAAAGGAGAGUUGCUGAUCUCUUAGCACAACUUUUGCAAAAUAGUGCUGCUCUGUGGAUCAUAGGCUGGGAAACAUCCCAUGGAGAAUAAGGCUGCUCAUCAACUAGCCUUUCAGUUUUCAGUAGAACUGGAGAUGAUGCUAAAAACUGGGACAUGCAUUGUAGAAAUCAUCUCAGUUCUAGUUGUUUGGUUUCCCUACUUAACUUGAGUUCCUUCAGGCUCCAUUUAUAAUUAAUGUACAGGAAUAACCAUGUCUGGAGGGCAAUUUUUCUCACCUAUCUUAGACAUCUUAUCUUAGGAUGAGGUGAAUCAUCCUUUGGUAUUCCUUGAUUCUCUCCAUUAGCUGUAAAGUCAGACUGGUACAGCUGUAGACAAUUUUUAACCACCUAAAUUACAUGAGACGAAUCAUUGUCCCAGUAUAGAAAAGCCCCUGUCCUGAAGAAAUCAGGUAUCGCACAGCUUACAUGAUACAUAAUUUGGUGCCUGUCAUGCAUUUCUGUAGCCCAGCCAACACGGCAAAUAUUCACAGGGACUGAUUGCUUCUAACUGCUGCUACUGGCCAUCAGGACUUGCCGAGAUACCUGUGUUCUGCAAGGGACAAUUAGUCUGCAGCAACAACAGUAGAGUGGUGAGCACAGUGAGAUUGGCACAAGGACAUCUUGGAAGAAUAAACUUUGCAGCAUCAAAAUUCUGGAACUGGCAUAGGUGAAGCUUGGUAGUAUUCCUCCUGUGCGCACCGGAGUAUCAGGAGGCAAAGAGUGUUUCUGGCAGUUUGGUAGCUGGGCAUGCCUUUAAGGAAAGUGCUAUGAUCAAGACUGAUGCCAACACUUAAGCCCAUGCCAACGCUGACAGCACCCAACUGAAGUUGCAAGAUACACAGCGGAAGACACAGAAUAAAAGCACAAAACGGUAAUGAAG
This is a long non-coding RNA of Harpia harpyja (harpy eagle), 2880 nucleotides long. RefSeq lists it as uncharacterized. NCBI's taxonomy places the organism in Eukaryota, Metazoa, Chordata, Aves, Accipitriformes, Accipitridae. The transcript has 4 exons. The record is from RefSeq and is a predicted model, not a curated record.